CGGGUACGACAGUUUUGACUCUGAAACCGAAAAAUACAAUGUUCUGGGUACGACAAUCUGUAACGCUGGUCCUGUUCCGAAUCCCGAAACCCCGAACCCCGCGACUCCCGAAAUCAAGUCAGUGAGUGCGAGUCUUCUUCUCGUGGCCGUAAGCGUGGGAAGGAAGGGCCCAUAAAACACCCAAGAAGAAGAAGAAGAAGGAGGGACAGUUGCGUCUCCGUAUUUUACCGCUAUUAUGGCACUGUGUGUGGGUGAUGGGUGCAACCAAGGAGAGCAACAGUGGCUUUAGGAAGGACAUGACGUUGCGAAGAUCUCCCCGUGGUCCUGAAAGAAUCAUGGAAUGGGGGAUAAGCUCAAGAGAAGAGACUGGUCCCCAUCAGGUUUUUGCCAAAAUGAAAUCUACAUCUGUGGUACAACCAGAGGAUCAGGAAGUCAUCACCAACAUCAAGCCAAUAUUUCUGCAGUGUACAUGAAAAAUGAGGGCAGAGACUGAUGAUAUGGAGGUAUGGCGGCUCAUCAAGGAGAUGGAGGUUGACGUGGAGGAGGAUGGCGGCAAUGUUGUCAUGUUGGAGGCAACACCAGUGGUGGUGGGCCCCAGGAACCACCUCACACUAGCAUUGGAUACCACAUCUCUUCCCCUUCCAGUAAGCACCCUAUCGUCUCCCAUCCAGGUGUGUUUAUUAUUUAUUUUAUGUCUAUAUUGGUGCAAAGUUGUAGUAGUACUGUUAGUAGUGCAUAAAAUGGGAUCACUAAUAAGUAAGAAAAAAUUACAGUUCUAUAUUAAAACUUCAGACACUUUUGUUUCCAAUUAAAUAAUUUCUCAAAUGUAUGAUGCCCCAUAAGUUGCAAUUUUGCAUCUCGUGGUCAAUUUCAAGGUACUGCUAAUUAGGUGUUAAAUGCAGUACACUUCUGUAUAUGCCAAGUAAGCUAUGGGGAGGCAGAGGCUGAGUGGUUAGCGUGCGAGCGCAGUGUCCAGGAGGACCCAAGUACGCAUCUCACCCGCUGCCACAAACUGGGAUUUUUCAGUCACCACUGAGUGGCCUAAGAUUACCAACAUGCUGUUCUGAAGACCACCUAGCAACCAGGACUUUAGAUUCCCUCUCUAAAAAGAGGAUCAAAGAUGAGCUCUGGUGUGGUGCCAAAUUCUGUCCCAUCCUGAUCUAGGCAUGUGCAGAAGUCAAUGCUUACUAUCACAAUGUGUUGGUAUCCACAUUUGUCCCAGGCAAGAUGGCAGCAAUACAUCAUGCUAUUUUUUUUUUAUGAAAAAAUGGCCAAAUUCAAGGCUGACAUGGACCCCAUAGCUCAGCUACUACUGAAUGGAGAGUAUCCCAUAAACCUGACUUUGCAUCAGAAGGAAACUCUGAGGAGACAGAAGGACAAUCAUGAAGUCAAAGGUAAUGCUACCCUGGGGGACAACAUGAGUCAAGCAAGAUGGCACCUCUAUAAACUUACCUGUGCCAUAUCAGGCUGGGGCCAACCAUCAGCUUCAGCUUCCUCCCCUCACCUCUGUGGUGCAAUGGUUAACGUGCCUAGCUACAAAUCCACGGGGUCGGGUUUGAAUCCUGGUCUGGGCAGUCAGCAUGCAGCUCACCCUCCCCUUUGGGCUGGUCAAUAAAUUGGUACCUGGGAAAACCUGGGGAAGGCAAACCGUGGUAACCCAGAUGUCACACCGAACCUGUGUCAGGUUAGAUGCAGUAACGAGGUCACUGGUUGAGUGACCUGAUUCCCAAUACGGGACCUGUCAGAUAGGGGUUUGCCCUGCCCUCUCAUAUUUACCUGUUUGUCUUUGUAUAAAAUGAAAUCUGUACGACUUUCCUCACUCCCUCUCCUGCUUCUUACCACCAAAGAUGGUGGCAGUGUCCACUGAAACCGUCUGGUAAAUAUAAAUUUUUUGGCUGCUAGUAUGGGUUAUCUUCACAUCAAGAACACAUUAGUGUGAUUUUCCUAGUCUAUUGUCCUUUCCUUACGAACGGUCAAAUCCUUUGUGGGUGGCUCCCUGUUCAUCCACAAGAGGCACUUGCAUCCUUGUAAAAUAAGCUGAUUGCUUCAAGUAAACAUCAUCCCACACCAUACAUUUUCAGGACAUCCCAUAACCCCUUCUUGUCAACCUAUCACAGGCCUUUUUCAGGUCCAUGAAAUCAGCAGACUGCUUCCUGUCCUUCUUUAGUUACAUAGUCUUCCAUCUUCUUUAAAAGCACUUUAAAGACGAAUAUUAUAAUAAAGUUUAUUCAAAAUUCCAUAAACGUCUUCAUAGUUUAAAAAGUAAGCACCUAAUGAUAACUGAAAGAUUAUAUAAUUCAGCAGUACCUACCUAUGUGAUCAAAACUACAUUAUUGGCACAUCUUGGUGUGAUGGGGAAAAUGAUUUUUAUUUAAGAAGCAUUAGUUAAAUGAUGAAUGAGAGAUGAGCAGUGUAAUGAAUGAAACUGACUACAGUUUUGUAAGGUGAUAACAUUAAUAGUCUCUAGUCAGUGAAAUAAAUCAGCUGCACUGAAAUUAUAGCAAAUAAUAACAUGUCAAUUCAUAAUAUAACCUCAAUGUGAGAUUCAUAUAAUAAAUAAUUACAUAACAUCACAAAACUAUCCUUUGUCAAUAUAGUCAGUUUCAUUUCAUGUCCAUCCACAAACCGUGAAUUUUGAUAGAUGUGGCACCUGUGCAUUGUUAUUUCAUGAUUGUGUGAAAAUCAACUCCUGUUUUAAAUAUUCAAGCUAUUUCUUCAAUACAUUUGAUUUUUUAUGCAUACAAAAAACAUCAGAUCUUCUUGGAUAAAUCCCAAACAUGCUGAUUUACAUCAAUAACAUGCCAUACAAGCGCACAAACGACAAGCUUGUAUCAAACAGUAUAGUUAGAUCAUACUCGAAUAAACUAUGACCUUUUAAAUUACAAUUAUUUUGAGCAUUUAUUGCAUUUAAAUCACAGGGGUAAUAUUAAAAAUAGUAUGAAAAAUUGGUGAAUGUGUUGCUAGGCUAUUUUGAAUAUUACUUAUGUGGUUUUCACACAAUAAAUUAUUGAAGCAUCUUUAAUUCGCAUUUACACUGCCAGAUGUUUGUUUAUAUACCUGAAAUGAGAUGAAUUAUAGGUAUUUGAAAGGCCACAGUUUGUUCGUGUGACCUUCCUAUAUUGUUUGAUACAAGCUUGUCUUUUGUGUGCUUGUAUGUUAUAUUAUUUUGUGUGCUAGUAGAUUAUAUUAUUGAUGCAAAUUAGCAUGUAAGGGAUUUAUCUAAGGUUUUUUUUUUUUUUUUUUUUUUUUUU
Molecule: long non-coding RNA, 3251 nt
Organism: Eriocheir sinensis (Chinese mitten crab)
Lineage: Eukaryota; Metazoa; Arthropoda; Malacostraca; Decapoda; Varunidae
Exons: 2
Source: RefSeq, a predicted model, not a curated record